RNAcentral lists this unclassified non-coding RNA (368 nucleotides) under Strychnos lucida. RNAcentral's name for it is "partial external transcribed spacer". Lineage: Eukaryota; Viridiplantae; Streptophyta; Magnoliopsida; Gentianales; Loganiaceae. The record is from RNAcentral.
GGAUCCCUGCUCGGGCAGCGACGUCCGCCCAUGCACGCCUAUUCAGUGUUGGACCAAGGGCGAUGUUAGCCUUGGCCGUUCGUUCGGUUUCCUGUGCUGCGUACCUACCGUGACGGCAACGGUUGUCGAAAUUGUCCCACGUUCGUCCUGUGCUGCCCGUGAGGGCUUGCCCACUGGAUGAACCGCGAAGCACUCUCUGCGAUCCCCGGCGCCCGCGGCACGACGUGAGGCGUCAGUGGCCCGUUGUCGAGUUGCUUGUGCUCUCGGAUGCAGAAUGCAAAGCGGGUACGGGGUUGCCGACCUCUAUCUACCCAAAACGAAGCGUUCGUCGCUAACCAGCGCACGACUGUCGUCUCCGUCUUGGCGGG